UACGGAGGGUGCAAGCGUUAAUCGGAAUUACUGGGCGUAAAGCGCACGUAGGCGGUGCGGUAAGUCAGGGGUUAAAGGCUGCAGCUCAACUGCAGUAAGGCCUUUGAUACUAUCGUGCUAGAGUGUCAGAGAGGAUGGCGGAAUUCCCGGUGUAGCGGUGAAAUGCGUAGAUAUCGGGAGGAACGCCGGUGGCGAAGGCGGCUUCCUGGCCCGUUACUGACGCUGAGGCACGAAAGCCAGGGGAGCGAACCGG
Molecule: ribosomal RNA, 253 nt
Filed under: uncultured microorganism
Description: partial 16S ribosomal RNA
Rfam family: Bacterial small subunit ribosomal RNA
Source: RNAcentral